This is a long non-coding RNA of Enhydra lutris kenyoni (northern sea otter), 217 nucleotides long. RefSeq lists it as uncharacterized. Lineage: Eukaryota; Metazoa; Chordata; Mammalia; Carnivora; Mustelidae. The record is from RefSeq and is a predicted model, not a curated record. The transcript is spliced from 3 exons.
AGGAGCUGAAACAGGAAGACCAGUAGAAGGUUCCUGAAGUAUAAUCCUGACGAGAAAAGUCGGCUUGAACAAGAGUGGUAGUAGAAAUUAAAGUGGUAAGAAGUGAUGCACACCCGAGCUAUUCCUCAGAUCUCUGCAAGUGGCCAUGAGUAAUGUCAUCUUGUUUUCCCACACUGAGCAACAGAGCAUUAACUGACUGGGAGCCCUGACUGAUCCA